This 253-nucleotide ribosomal RNA is filed under the name uncultured bacterium. Its description in RNAcentral is "partial 16S ribosomal RNA". It matches the Rfam family "Bacterial small subunit ribosomal RNA", at positions 524 to 776 of the family's 1533-position model. The record is from RNAcentral.
UACGUAGGGGGCAAGCGUUGUCCGGAUUUAUUGGGCGUAAAGAGCGUGUAGGCGGCUUUACAGGUCCGUUGUGAAAACUCGAGGCUCAACCUCGAGACGCCGGUGGAAACCGUAAGGCUAGAGUCCGGAAGAGGAGAGUGGAAUUCCUGGUGUAGCGGUGAAAUGCGCAGAUAUCAGGAAGAACACCCGUGGCGAAGGCGGCUCUCUGGGACGGUACUGACACUGAGACGCGAAAGCGUGGGGAGCAAACAGG